RNAcentral lists this ribosomal RNA (251 nucleotides) under uncultured bacterium. RNAcentral's name for it is "partial 16S ribosomal RNA". It matches the Rfam family "Bacterial small subunit ribosomal RNA", at positions 524 to 774 of the family's 1533-position model. The record is from RNAcentral.
UACGUAGGGAGCAAGCGUUAUCCGGAUUUAUUGGGUGUAAAGGGUGCGUAGAUGGAUAAUCAAGUUGGUUGUGAAAUCCCUCGGCUUAACUGAGGAACUGCAACCAAAACUGGUAAUCUUGAGUACUGGAGGGGAAAGCGGAAUUCCUAGUGUAGCGGUGAAAUGCGUAGAUAUUAGGAAGAACACCGGUGGCGAAGGCGGCUUUCUGGACAGAAACUGACAUUGAGGCACGAAAGUGUGGGGAGCAAACA